GGAAAUUAAGGCUGCUUUUAUCUGUUCUCAUGAACUCCUUGUUAAAAAUGGGUUAAACAAAAGCCAAAUCUGUUCUAACAGUGUAUAGCAAUUCCUAGAGGCGUCGGUCUGGUUGGCCAGUUAAUUCUAUGAGUCUUCAUCGGAGUGGCUCUCUGAUUCGGGAUUUGCCACGCCCUAAGAGCUGUCUUAACCGCUCUGUGUUCUGCUUGUGCCAGAUGCUGCUGGAGCUGUUUUACAUCGAUUAUUCCUUUUAAUCCUCACAGGGAUCUCCUGCAGUACAUCUGGUACUAUCAGAUCUAUCAAGAGAGACUCGGCUUAGGCAAUGCAUCCAGCAUCCUACAGAUAGUAAAUGGGGAUGCCAAAUCCAUAUUGAGGUCAGUCUGACACAGGAGUCUGAGUUCGUAAUAGCCCUGUAAUGAGGGGAUAUCAAUGGAGUGUGAAGUCUCAUCCAGAUGUUUGCAUAUACUUUUGAUUCAGCAAAUGCUUGUUUUAUAAUCAUUGUGUAUCUGUAUGUCUUAGACUUAGCAAGGUGGCUUGAGGCAAACAAAUAUGGAUCUGACAGGGAUGCUGCAGUGUGGUUCGAAAGAUAACAUGCAUACCCAAAAAUUGAUGGAGCUCAAUGAUGUAAUGAAGGAAAUGGAGAAGCCUGUUCUAAGUUCACUUGAAGCCAAAUUACAAAGGAGCAGACGGGAUCCCAGAAACAAAGAUGGCACCAG
RNAcentral lists this long non-coding RNA (716 nucleotides) under Mus spicilegus (steppe mouse). RNAcentral's name for it is "lncRNA (ENSMSIG00000019186.1)". The record is from RNAcentral. Lineage: Eukaryota; Metazoa; Chordata; Mammalia; Rodentia; Muridae.